RNAcentral lists this ribosomal RNA (274 nucleotides) under uncultured bacterium. Its description in RNAcentral is "partial 16S ribosomal RNA". It matches the Rfam family "Bacterial small subunit ribosomal RNA", at positions 523 to 796 of the family's 1533-position model. The record is from RNAcentral.
AUACGGAGGGUGCAAGCGUUAUUCGGAAUCACUGGGCGUAAAGGACGCGUAGGCGGGUUGGCAAGUCAGAUGUGAAAUCCUACAGCUUAACUGUAGAACUGCAUUUGAAACUGCUAGCCUAGAGUAUGGGAGGGGGAGAUGGAAUUAGUGGUGUAGGGGUAAAAUCCGUAGAUAUCACUAGGAAUACCGAAAGCGAAGGCGAUCUCCUGGAACAUAACUGACGCUAAGGCGUGAAAGCGUGGGGAGCAAACAGGAUUAGAUACCCCAGUAGUCC